This 496-nucleotide ribosomal RNA is filed under the name uncultured bacterium. Its description in RNAcentral is "bacterial SSU rRNA". It matches the Rfam family "Bacterial small subunit ribosomal RNA", at positions 903 to 1397 of the family's 1533-position model. The record is from RNAcentral.
AAAGGAAUAGACGGGGACCCGCACAAGCAGCGGAGCAUGUGGUUUAAUUCGAUGCAACGCGAAGAACCUUACCAGGGCUUGACAUCCCUCUGACCGUCCUAGAGAUAGGGCCUUCUCUUCGGAGACAGAGGUGACAGGUGGUGCAUGGUUGUCGUCAGCUCGUGUCGUGAGAUGUUGGGUUAAGUCCCGCAACGAGCGCAACCCUUGCCUUUAGUUGCCAUCAGGUAAAGCUGGGCACUCUAGAGGGACUGCCGGUGACAAACCGGAGGAAGGUGGGGAUGACGUCAAAUCAUCAUGCCCUUUAUGUCCUGGGCUACACACGUGCUACAAUGGUCGGUACAAUGGGAGGCCACCUAGCGAUAGGGAGCGAAUCCCCAAAGCCGAUCUCAGUUCGGAUUGCAGGCUGCAACUCGCCUGCAUGAAGCCGGAGUUGCUAGUAAUCGUGGAUCAGAAUGCCGCGGUGAAUGCGUUCCCGGGUCUUGUACACACCGCCCGU